AUUAACGCUAGCGGCAGGCAUAAUACAUGCAAGUUGAACGGCAGCACAGGUAGCAAUACUGGGUGGCGAGUGGCGCACGGGUGCGUAACACGUAUGCAACCUACCCUAUACAGGCGAAUAACCUUUAGAAAUGAGGGCUAAUACGCCGUAGUAUUACAGAUGGGCAUCUAUUUGUAAUUAAAGAUUUAUCGGUAUAGGAUGGGCAUGCGUCCCAUUAGUUAGUUGGUAAGGUAACGGCUUACCAAGACGAUGAUGAGUAGGGG
This 263-nucleotide ribosomal RNA is filed under the name uncultured bacterium. RNAcentral describes it as "partial 16S ribosomal RNA". It matches the Rfam family "Bacterial small subunit ribosomal RNA", at positions 29 to 289 of the family's 1533-position model. The record is from RNAcentral.